AUGCUUUGUCCGGAGCAGCUGAGGGUGGUCACACAGAAAUUGUUAAGAUACUUCUGGAUAAGGGAGCCGACGUAAAUGAGUCAUAUGCUUUGUCCAGAGCAGCUAGAGGGGGUCACAUAGAAAUUGUUAAGAUACUCCUGGAUAAGGGAGCCGACGUAAAUGAGUCAGAUGCUUUGUCCGAAGCAGCUAGAUGGGGUCACACAGAAAUUGUUGAUAUACUCCUGGAUAAGGGAGCCGACGUAAAUAAGGUUGG
Pecten maximus is the source of this 253-nucleotide long non-coding RNA. RefSeq lists it as uncharacterized. The record is from RefSeq and is a predicted model, not a curated record. NCBI's taxonomy places the organism in Eukaryota, Metazoa, Mollusca, Bivalvia, Pectinida, Pectinidae. The transcript is spliced from 3 exons.